This 253-nucleotide ribosomal RNA is filed under the name uncultured bacterium. Its description in RNAcentral is "partial 16S ribosomal RNA". It matches the Rfam family "Bacterial small subunit ribosomal RNA", at positions 524 to 776 of the family's 1533-position model. The record is from RNAcentral.
UACGGAGGGUGCAAGCGUUGCUCGGAAUUACUGGGCGUAAAGCGAACGCAGGCGGUUCACUAAGUCGGGCGUGAAAGCCCCGGGCUCAACCUGGGAAUUGCACUCGAUACUGGUAGACUUGAGUCUGAGAGAGGGAAGCGGAAUUCCUGGUGUAGAGGUGAAAUUCGUUGAUAUCAGGAGGAACACCGGCGGCGAAGGCGGCCUUCUGGACGAUGACUGACGCUGAGACGCGAAAGCGUGGGGAGCAAACAGG